This 1399-nucleotide long non-coding RNA is filed under the name Homo sapiens (human). RNAcentral's name for it is "HSALNT0100625". Lineage: Eukaryota; Metazoa; Chordata; Mammalia; Primates; Hominidae. The record is from RNAcentral.
CACCAUUUUAUCUGCUCAGCUGGGAAAAAUGACUGAGCCCAUGUGGCAGCUGGAAGGUCAUACGCACCCUUCCAGCCCAAGAAGGAUGCAGACAGCCUCUGCAGCCCCACCAGCCAAGGGAAGCAGAUCCGAGAACUGACCCAUCCCUCUUACUGGCUCCUUAAAUUAAUUUAGGAGUCAGACUGUCAUGAUGAUAUUGAUAGCAAUAGGUGAGUACUAUUAGAUUCCCAAGAUAAUGCAGACUAUUGAAGAACUCUGUUUUAAUAUAAAAUGCAGCCAAUUUUCAAAACACAUAAGGCAUUCUUCAUAUUUAAGAAGUCACAUACCUUGCAUCUUUAAAAUCAUGUAGGGACUCAAGCUCUCGUUCACUAUAGAAGAAUUUUAAAAGUAUGGAUUAAGGAAGUCACAUAGCGGUCAGUAUCAUCAAUCAUAUAUUGAAAGAUUCCAACCUUCUAUUCAAGAAGCUAUUAUCUUUUAAAUCAAGAAAAUGCCUAGGAGAGCCUUUCCUUGUGAAGAAAAAAAGAACUCGAAGACAGCGCUUCAGGGUUUUGCCCUGAAGUAUUUUUCCCGAUGGUAUUUAGCUGCCAAAGUGGAUGAAAUCCUUAACAUGAAGACUUUCUCGCCAAGAGGAGGAAGAUAUGAAUCAAGGAACCUCAUCACCCAAGCCUCAACACCCUAUGGAUAGAGUGGUCAUCUGCUUUCUCCCAAGACAGCCCAGGUUUAUGCCUCCUAUCCUGUAAUGGUUAUUACUAACCCUGCCUCCUCCCUCAUUUGCAUGGACCUUAAAUUAUUAGAUUUAUAAAAGUGCCAACUGUGUAGGCUAUGAAAAGUCAUAUGGUUUAUCGUCUAAAUCCCCACUCAUUACUGGAGUCCAUGUGGCCCUUCAGGAGCUGACCCGACCUACCAUUCCAGUGUAAUUUCCAGCAUUUUCCAAUGCACUCUGUGUUCCAACUCUGCUGAACUACUGGGUUCCCAGAAUGUGACAUGUUUGAUUUCUCGUGGUUUGUAUGUGGCGGUUCUCUCUGCUGUUGGGAAUUCAUUUUCCCCACAAUGUGCUCAAUCUACUCUUCUCCCAGACUCUUCUAAUACUAGCUCUUAGUGAAAUCUCACCUGGAAGCCUCCAUUCUUUGGUGCUUUGUAGAACUUUAACUCACUGCUGACUGUUUGUGGAUUCUACCAUCAGGCCCACUAUGUGUUAUGCCCAGUGCAAGUCUGUGUGAGGGAGAAAGAGAGGGAAGAAAAAGAAAGGAAGGAAAGAAGGAAGAAAAUAAACAUGGAGAGAAUCAAUAAAAUAGGCAUUAUUACUAUAGAGUCCAUAGCUGCUAAAAGGGAAACUGGAAUUUGGGAGUAACUUUUGCAUAAGACUGUGAUAUUUCUCUUUAAUUAUCUGUUCAUAUUU